GAUGCACACGCCUAAACGAAAUGGGAAGCUGACUAGUUAAUGGUCCGCUUGCAUAACGAUGAGCACACCAGUGGUCCGGACUAUUCUAGACCCCCUGCUUUCGUAACCACAGACGGACUAACGUACUGCGAUUUGCAGCUAGUUAAAUCUGUAAACUCUCGGAUGCCCUGAAAGUAGACAGCUGACAAGAGCACCCCCCAUACAUCUUAAUUAUUCGAUUGGAUGCAAUCCAACUGACUGGCUUUAUAUAAAUCUACUUUCCGUCUUUCUAAGUUUCAAGUAGUGUUCAUUAUGUGGAUGACCAGAUAAUAUAAACAAUUAAAUUAUGCACAUAGUAUUCAAUAGUAUUCAUCACUCUUUCAACAAAGAGCACCAACCGAUCACGGAAAAAAGCGAGACGGGGAUAUCGGAUUUGUUGGAUUGGAUAAAUGUCUAAAUAUAUAAAGUACAUGCCCACAACCAAAUGUCUUUGAAGGCAAAUCGUUUUCAAUGAUUAUAGCCGCAUCUUCUCAAGCGAAAUAAAUU
Molecule: non-coding RNA, 525 nt
Organism: Drosophila melanogaster (fruit fly)
Lineage: Eukaryota; Metazoa; Arthropoda; Insecta; Diptera; Drosophilidae
Source: Ensembl